CCAACGGUCCUUUUCAGGGCCACAUUCUGAUUUUGAUAUUGAUAAU
This is a non-coding RNA of Trichinella patagoniensis, 46 nucleotides long. The record is from Rfam. NCBI's taxonomy places the organism in Eukaryota, Metazoa, Nematoda, Enoplea, Trichinellida, Trichinellidae.